This 272-nucleotide ribosomal RNA is filed under the name uncultured bacterium. RNAcentral describes it as "partial 16S ribosomal RNA". It matches the Rfam family "Bacterial small subunit ribosomal RNA", at positions 524 to 796 of the family's 1533-position model. RNAcentral also lists the same sequence under 1 other name. The record is from RNAcentral.
UACGUAAGGACCGAGCGUUGUCCGGAAUCAUUGGGCGUAAAGGGUACGUAGGCGGCUAGAAAAGUUAGAAGUCAAAGGCUAUAGCUCAACUAUAGUAAGCUUCUAAAACUAUUUAGCUUGAGAAAUGGAAGGGAAAGUGGAAUUCCUAGUGUAGCGGUGGAAUGCGCAGAUAUUAGGAAGAAUACCGGUGGCGAAGGCGACUUUCUGGCCAUUAUCUGACGCUGAGGUACGAAAGCGUGGGUAGCAAACAGGAUUAGAUACCCCCGUAGUCC